AACAAACGCUGGCGGCGUGUCUUAAGCAUGCAAGUUGAGCGGCAAGGAGGAGAGAUCCUCCCUAGAGCGGCGGACUGGUGAGUAACGCGUGGGUAAUCUAUCGUAGGCAUGGGGAUAGUCACUAGAAAUAGUGGGUAAUACCGAAUACGUUCCAUGAGGGGAGUAUUCAUGGAAGAAAGGGUGCUACGGCACUGGCCUUAGGUGAGCUCGCGUCCCAUUAGCUAGUUGGUGAGGUAAAGGCCCACCAAGGCGAUGAUGGGUAGCCGGCCUGAGAGGGUGUACGGCCACACUGGGACUGAGAUACGGCCCAGACUCCUACGGAGGCAGCAGCUAAGAAUAUUCCGCAAUGGACGAAAGUCUGACGGAGCGACGCCGCGUGGAUGAAGAAGGCCGAAAGGUUGUAAAGUUCUUUUGCUAGGGGAGAAUAAGUGAGGGAGGGAAUGCCCUCAUGAUGACAAGGACUAGCGAAUAAGCCCCGGCAACUACGUGCCAGCACG
This 497-nucleotide ribosomal RNA is filed under the name uncultured bacterium. RNAcentral's name for it is "bacterial SSU rRNA". It matches the Rfam family "Bacterial small subunit ribosomal RNA", at positions 29 to 515 of the family's 1533-position model. The record is from RNAcentral.